This 800-nucleotide ribosomal RNA is filed under the name uncultured bacterium. RNAcentral describes it as "bacterial SSU rRNA". It matches the Rfam family "Bacterial small subunit ribosomal RNA", at positions 59 to 826 of the family's 1533-position model. The record is from RNAcentral.
CAGUCGAACGAAAAGACGGAAAGAGCUUGCUCUUUCCGGAAUUGAGUGGCACACUGGUGAGUAACACGUAAACAACCUGCCUUCAGGAUGGGGACAACAGACGGAAACGACUGCUAAUACCGAAUAAGUUCCAAGAGCCGCAUGGCCCAUGGAAGAAAAGGUGGCCUCUACCUGUAAGCUAUCGCCUGAAGAGGGGUUUGCGUCUGAUUAGCUGGUUGGAGGGGUAACGGCCCACCAAGGCGACGAUCAGUAGCCGGUCUGAGAGGAUGAACGGCCACACUGGAACUGAGACACGGUCCAGACUCCUACGGGAGGCAGCAGUGGGGAAUCUUCCGCAAUGGGCGAAAGCCUGACGGAGCAACGCCGCGUGAGUGAUGACGGCCUUCGGGUUGUAAGACUCUGUGAUCCGGGACGAAAAGGCAGAGUGCGAAGAACAAACUGCAUUGACGGUACCGGAAAAGCAAGCCACGGCUAACUACGUGCCAGCAGCCGCGGUAAUACGUAGGUGGCAAGCGUUGUCCGGAAUUAUUGGGCGUAAAGCGCGCGCAGGCGGCUUCCCAAGUCCCUCUUAAAAGUGCGGGGCUUAACCCCGUGAUGGGAAGGAAACUGGGAAGCUGGAGUAUCGGAGAGGAAAGUGGAAUUCCUAGUGUAGCGGUGAAAUGCGUAGAGAUUAGGAAGAACACCGGUGGCGAAGGCGACUUUCUGGACGAAAACUGACGCUGAGGCGCGAAAGCGUGGGGAGCAAACAGGAUUAGAUACCCUGGUAGUCCACGCCGUAGACGAUGGAUACUAGGUGUAGG